Molecule: non-coding RNA, 99 nt
Organism: Callithrix jacchus (white-tufted-ear marmoset)
Lineage: Eukaryota; Metazoa; Chordata; Mammalia; Primates; Cebidae
Source: RefSeq, a predicted model, not a curated record
AUGGCUAUAAUGUUGUUCUGCCUUCUACAGCUUGCUGCACCGCUCUGUAGUUACUCUAUUACCAUACGUUUCUAUCUUUUUUGGUUAAACACUCCCUGA